UCGAGCGGACAGAAGGGAGCUUGCUCCCGGAUGUUAGCGGCGGACGGGUGAKUAACACGUGGGUAACCUGCCUGUAAGACUGGGAUAACUCCGGGAAACCGGAGCUAAUACCGGAUAGUUCCUUGAACCGCAUGGUUCAAGGAUGAAAGACGGUUUCGGCUGUCACUUACAGAUGGACCCGCGGCGCAUUAGCUAGUUGGUGGGGUAAUGGCUCACCAAGGCGACGAUGCGUAGCCGACCUGAGAGGGUGAUCGGCCACACUGGGACUGAGACACGGCCCAGACUCCUACGGGAGGCAGCAGUAGGGAAUCUUCCGCAAUG
RNAcentral lists this ribosomal RNA (321 nucleotides) under Bacillus sp. MCA2.42. RNAcentral describes it as "bacterial SSU rRNA". It matches the Rfam family "Bacterial small subunit ribosomal RNA", at positions 62 to 373 of the family's 1533-position model. The record is from RNAcentral. Lineage: Bacteria; Bacillati; Bacillota; Bacilli; Caryophanales; Bacillaceae.